This 598-nucleotide long non-coding RNA is filed under the name Mus musculus (house mouse). RNAcentral's name for it is "long non-coding RNA chrX:137113508-137114106". Lineage: Eukaryota; Metazoa; Chordata; Mammalia; Rodentia; Muridae. The record is from RNAcentral.
AAGGCUGUUCCAGAGAAGAAAAAAAGGCUUCCUGCUGUUCCAGAAACCCUUAAGGAAUUUUACAGGGUUGAAAGUGAAGCACCUGCGGAAGAAGUUUGCCCUGAAGACAUUGAUAAGGCAAGGAGGAAGCUCAUCUAGGAGAAGACAAAAGCAUUAUCUCAAGGAGUGCAGGCAGGUGUACCGAACUGAGAUAUGGAUGGCCAGGAUGGCCUGGAAAGCUGCAAACUUUUAAGUACCCCCAGAAGCAAAAUUGGUGUUUGUCAUCAGAAUCUGAGGUCUCAGUGGUCUGUCCAGUACUGCAACUUCUUAGUCUUAGACCGAUUUUCAAGGGCACCUUUGUUUUAAGCUCAACAAGGCAUCAGUUAACAUGCUGAGGAUUGUGGAACCCUACAUUGCAUGGGGCUACCCCAACCUGAAGUCAGUAAAUGAGCUCAUCUACAAGUGAAGCUAUGGCCAAAUCAAUAAGAAGAGGAUUGCCUUGACAGACAAUUCUUUGAUUACUGGAUUUCUUAGUAAAUUUGGCAUCAUCUGCAUGGAGGAUCUAGGUUAUGAGAUCUACACAGUUGGGAAACGCUUCAAGGAAGUGAAUAAGUUAUUA